This 57-nucleotide transfer RNA is filed under the name Bos taurus (domestic cattle). It matches the Rfam family "tRNA", at positions 8 to 63 of the family's 71-position model. From Rfam's summary of the family: Transfer RNA (tRNA) molecules are approximately 80 nucleotides in length. Their secondary structure includes four short double-helical elements and three loops (D, anti-codon, and T loops). Lineage: Eukaryota; Metazoa; Chordata; Mammalia; Artiodactyla; Bovidae. The record is from Rfam by way of RNAcentral. RNAcentral also lists the same sequence under 1 other name.
UGGCUCAGACGGUAAAGCGUCUGCCUAUGAUGCAGGAGACCCGGGUUCGAUUCCUGG